Molecule: long non-coding RNA, 1019 nt
Organism: Leptopilina heterotoma
Lineage: Eukaryota; Metazoa; Arthropoda; Insecta; Hymenoptera; Figitidae
Exons: 3
Source: RefSeq, a predicted model, not a curated record
AUAUUUUAAGUUGCGCAGUGUACAGUAGAACGUACGAAUGCCUUCCCCCUGAAGUUGCUGCAGAAAAAUGAUAAUUUAUUGUCAAACUUGAGUUUCUAUAUCCCAUGCCUAAAAAAUUGACGUGUGUUUUGAUGUCAUCGUUGGUCAUCGUUGUAAACAUUAAACAGUUUAAUGUUUACCAUUACAUUAAAGUUAAAAAUACAUUAAAAUUUUUAAAAAAUGGUAAUGAAUGGUGAAAAAAAGUUAGUGAUUAAAGUGAGGUGACAAAUAUUUUUAUAUUGCAUCAGUAUAAAAGUUUCAUGAAGCGGCCGAAUUAAUUGAUCAUAGGAAAAUUGUAUAAAGAAAACAAUGUAGGGACAAUUUUCAUCAUUGCAUCAACAAUUUUCCAAAAAUGAAGCACUACCUAUUCGUGGCACGCGAGGUUGUCAAAUGCGAAAAAUGCGUUGUCCUUGGUUUUCAAUCCUGGGCGAAGCACGUACCCUAGAACAAUUGGAACGAAAUGAUGGCGAAUUGUCUCUUCUGCAAAAGGAGAAUGCCAUCAUUGAUGGGAGAAACAUUUCCCCGCACCAAAACGGAACCGAAUGUGUUAUAUAACUGGUGAUUUGCACCAGACUCAGAGUGUAGCUGAAAUUGAGUUGAUCUGGCGGUGGUUCGAGCACUUCAUUGAAGAACGGAAUUUCAGAGAAGAAUCGAAAUGGAAUUGGAAUUUAAAUUAACAUGCCGCAAAAGUGAAAAGAACAAUAAAUUCGCCAUUAGUGACUCUGACGUAGGACUCUCAAGACGAGUCACUUUUGAAAUUUGCAAGAUUUUUUAAUAAAAAAUAAAUUUUUGGGACCAAGAAAAUGAUUUUUAAAUGUCAUUUUUAUCAAUUUUUCGCAUAUAAAUCUAAGUGCCCCUGGAGACGAAAGUUCAAAUGAGUUCUUUGGCUUGCUGAUUAUUUGCCUGCUCGAUUUUAUCUCUCAAGACGAAUCACUUUUGAUAUUUGCAAGAGUUUUUAAUGAAAAAUAAAUUUGUGGGAC